This 2203-nucleotide long non-coding RNA is filed under the name Theobroma cacao (cacao). Its description in RNAcentral is "long non-coding RNA (TCAC_LNC000860)". Lineage: Eukaryota; Viridiplantae; Streptophyta; Magnoliopsida; Malvales; Malvaceae. The record is from RNAcentral.
UUGAAGCUUCCAACGCCAUUCUCUCAUUCUCCCAUGAAAAGCUAAUUUUCUUUCAUUUUCUUUCCUUGUUUUCUUUUCAUUUCUUUUCUCUUCUUGCUUCAUUCUUCUCCCAACUUCUUGUGCACCAAAGUUACAACUUCUAACCCCAAUUUCUAGCACAUAUAAACUCUAGGAGAAGAAGAAAGAAAAAGAGAGAAAAUAAAAAAAGCUUGGUUUUGGUGAUUCAAGCAAGGAACGCAAAGAUUGGCUUGAUUGGAGAAACAAUUGGUAACAUGUAAGCCAAUAAACCCAUGGGUGCAUGAAGGACUCAAAGUGGAAAAGGAAAACAGUAAGCAUAACACUAUGUUUUAAAGCCUACAGUUAGUUGAAUAUUGUGAGGAAUUAUGGUUGUUGAAAGGAUUUAUUUGCCUAAGCUAGUUGAAAAUUAUUAAGAUUGUAUGACAUGUUGUUUGAAAGAAAUGAAAAAGGAAUAUUGUGGAUGGAGGAUUGAGAAACAAAGUAUUGAAAGUUAGAUAGAUAACAAUCAUGUAAACUAAGAUAUAAUCGAGUGAAAGUAAGAAUGAUUGUUGCUGCCAUAUAUGUGGAUUAUGUGUGGAUAUAUAAGAUAGAUUUGGGUGGAAAUUAUUUAGAAAGGUUGAAGUAGACACGUGACAUCAUAAUUAAGUUACCGGUGAUAUAAUCUAAGGAAUUUCGUAAGCAAUGAUAUAAGUAAUUUUGGUAAAAAUGUAUUAAGAUGUGAAUUAAUUGAAGAUGGUUUCAUGAUAGGAUGAAAAAUAUAAAUUUGAGUAAGGAUUAAUUGAUUGAAGUGCUGCCUGUAUACAUAUGUAAUUAAAUAUAUUGAGUUCGUAUUAUUGUUAGGAUGUGCAAAGAUAAGGUUAGAGUACUGUGGUGGCAUGCUGGAGUAAAUAACGAGCGACCGGCCAGUGAAAAUAGUUAAAGACACCUUCGAUCAAAUAGCGAUGUAAUAUCCCGCUAUAGUAAGGUGAGUGAACUUGCAUUUCAAAAAUCGUUUUGGGAGACAUAAUUGUAUUGGUAUGAAACAUUGAAUGAUUUAUUUCAACUUGUCUUUAAAAACGUGUGCCUUGGGAACAAGCCUUUGACAAAAUAUUUUGAUGUUGUGAAAUGUGAAAUGUGUAAAAGAAUGGACCUAUGUGCUCUUAUACUGUGUUGAUAUAUGUAUAUAUGUGUGUGUAUGAAUAAUCUUGUAUGAUGAUGAUGACCCGACUAUGUGCGAGUAGGGAGUGCGCAUAGGCCGAUGAUGUUGAUGAUCCGGCUAUGAUGAAGAAUGAAGUGGGAUGGUGUAUUUGUUGAUAUAUGUUUAUAUAUGUAUAUGUGAUAGCAAGUUUAUGAUUAUAAUAUGUGAUUGUUUUGAAUGUCAAUAACUUGAUUAUUGUGUAUGUGUUCACUUUGAUGUGCAAUAUAGUAGGGAUGGAUUUUGUGGCAUGUGAAAACCCCUUAUUUGUCAUUUGCCCUGAAUCUCGUUGUAGCGAAAAUAAAUCUCGCAGCAGCGAGAAACUCUCGGGUUUUGGUGCAAUGCUUUCAAAUUGAUGAUGAUUUUGACCAUAUUCCCUUCCAAACUGGGAAAAAUGGUAAACAUCAAAGUUGUAGGCCUACCUCUUAUCUUUCUAAUUACCCAACAAGCAUGUCAAUUGGAUCCAUGUAGUGGAAGAUAUGCUUGAAAAACUGAACUGUAUGCAAACCAAGAAUGCCUUUUGCUAUAGCGAGAAUGAAACUUUCUGUUUCGCUUAGCAUUUGGCUGGUUUUUGCCAUAUUUUCCACUUCUCCAAUUUCAUGUUGAAUAUGAAUUCUCUAUCGUCACAUGAUUUAGCGACCAAGGGUUCAAUUGAGGGUUUUAAUAAGGACUUAAGCUAAAGUGCAUCAUUUUCAAAUAAGUGCAUUAUGAUUUCAAGCUUUUCCUUAUUAUAUUGCUUGUUCCCUUCCUAUGUUCACUCACUAAGUUUAUACUCACAUUUUCAACUUCAUGUUUUCAAAUUCAGUGGUGGUUGAUACGUAGAUUGAGGUGUUCGCGUACCCCCAUCCCUUGGGUAGUUAUCUUGACACUCAGUAGUCAUAUCUCCCCAUCCAAAGCCACUCCGCUGACGGUCAAAGUCUUUGUAUAUGUUUCAUGUGAAUUUGCAAAGAUAUAUUGACAACUAUUUAUGUAUGAUUUGAAUUAUGAUGCUAAUGUGAGCAUUCACUUGGG